This 661-nucleotide non-coding RNA is filed under the name Pan troglodytes (chimpanzee). Lineage: Eukaryota; Metazoa; Chordata; Mammalia; Primates; Hominidae. The record is from RNAcentral.
CCUGGACUUGAGCUAGUCACUUUAUUUUCUGAGCUUCAGUUUCCUCACUGGAUGAGUAGGAAAGUCAUGCCUGUCUGGCUUAACUAGAGGGCCUGUGGUGAGGCAUAAACUGGAGAAGAAAAUCAAACCAUUUGGUGAACUGUCAAGCUCAAUUUCCCUCUUUAAGGAAGAAAGGAAAGUGUUUUCCUGGAUACUAGAUAUGCUGAGUUGGGACAGGAGCUAAGGACAGAGGUGAGGAAACCUGCAGACAACAGCGACAUGCUCCUCAUCUUUGAGUCCCAGCGAACCUUUCCACUGUGUGUGUGUGCUGGAAUGCAGUUACUGAUCACCUGCAGGCUUGAACUCCAGGGUUCAAGCGAUCCUCCUACUUCAGCCUCCUGAGCAGCUAAGGACUACAGCACAUUAUGUUCCUGAAAACCAGGAACUGCUUCCUGUCUGACCCACUGCAGUGGUGGAGAGGAUCAAGGGAAAUAAUGAUCAUGGAUGUGCUUAGGAGACGUAAGAUUUUACUAAGAAUUGCUGUGAGCUGGGCACCCUUCUACGCUCUGCAGACACCAUGGCUAGUAAGACAGGCAAAGACCUGCCAUCUGGAGCUUGUUUGGAUAUAGGGUAGGGGGAUGGGGAGAAGGGAGAUAAACAAUAAACAAGUAAAUUUACACUC